This 400-nucleotide unclassified non-coding RNA is filed under the name uncultured Pseudomonadota bacterium. RNAcentral describes it as "uncultured proteobacterium contains 16S-23S intergenic spacer region". The record is from RNAcentral. Lineage: Bacteria; Pseudomonadati; Pseudomonadota.
UCCAACAUUUCGUUGGCAGUUUUUUUCAACUACUAACUAACAUAAUAAAAAAUAAGGGUUUCGCUCGUUACCGUAAUAAAACUGACAUUUCACAACACGAGCUGACGACAGCCAUGCAACACCUGUGUGGAAAUUAAAUUUUGUUCUUUUUUUAUUAUUUAUAAAAAACAAAUAAACAACAUUUACAUUGCUUUUUUUCCACAUUUCAAGAACUGGUAAGGUUUUGCGCGUUGUUUCGAAUUAAACCACAUGUUCCACCGCUUGUGCAGACUUCCGUCAAUUCCUUUGAGUUUUAAUCUUGCGACCGUAUUCCCCAGGCGGAAUGUUUAACGCGUUAGCUGACAAACUGAGAUCUUAUUGAUCCCAACAUGCAACAUUCAUCGUUGACAGCAUGGACUAC